GAGUUUGAUCCUGGCUCAGAACGAACGCUGGCGGCAGGCUUAACACAUGCAAGUCGAGCGCCUGUAGCAAUACAGGAGCGGCAGACGGGUGAGUAACACGUGGGAACGUGCCCAAAGGUACGGAACAACUCCGGGAAACUGGAGCUAAUACCGUAUGUGCCCGAGAGGGGAAAGAUUUAUCGCCUUUGGAUCGGCCCGCGUCUGAUUAGCUAGUUGGUGGGGUAAUGGCCUACCAAGGCGACGAUCAGUAGCUGGUCUGAGAGGAUGGCCAGCCACACUGGGACUGAGACACGGCCCAGACUCCUACGGGAGGCAGCAGUGGGGAAUUUUGGACAAUGGGCGCAAGCCUGAUCCAGCCAUGCCGCGUGCGGGAAGAAGGCCUUCGGGUUGUAAACCGCUUUUGUCAGGGAAGAAAUCCUUUGGGUUAAUACCUCGGGGGGAUGACGGUACCUGAAGAAUAAGCACCGGCUAACUACGUGCCAGCAGCCGCGGUAAUACGUAGGGUGCAAGCGUUAAUCGGAAUUACUGGGCGUAAAGCGUGCGCAGGCGGU
This 551-nucleotide ribosomal RNA is filed under the name uncultured Pseudomonadota bacterium. RNAcentral's name for it is "bacterial SSU rRNA". It matches the Rfam family "Bacterial small subunit ribosomal RNA", at positions 9 to 579 of the family's 1533-position model. The record is from RNAcentral. Lineage: Bacteria; Pseudomonadati; Pseudomonadota.